CUGCUUAAAUACCUUUAUUAUUUUUUAAAAAUUAUUUGGACAUUGAUAGCUCUGCAAAAUAUUUCUCCCAGCCCAAACCCUCAAAACCCUUUUCACACGUCCUCCCUGAAGAAACAAAAACCCAUCCUUUUCGUCCACUCCAAUCUAAUUUUUAAAAACACAGAAGAUUCAAAAUCAAAUGUUAUUUUUCUUUCGCAGAACUUGUUAGUAAUUUUAAACCACAAUGCACAUCCUCAAUGGCAUUUCUUCUUAAAAAUUAGCUUAUCUGACUACUUUAUGAGGAAAAAAAAAUCAAUUCAAGGCCUUAGAAUAUAAAUUCCCUGUUUCUGAAAGCAAAAGACAUUGAAGAGCCCCUCUGCUCCCUGGAGUCUGUGAUGCCUCACACCACGGACGGAUCCAGCAGCCAAGGGGCCGUCUGCCUCGCACAAGGCGUUGCUUGGUUGCUUUGGGACCGCAGCUGAGACGCUGUCAGGUGAGAAGGGGCGGCGGGGGGGGAUGCCCGCGCAGGCGGGUGGCGAGGCUGGGGCUGCGGGUGGAAGCCUUCUGAGCAGAGGGGGAGCUGGGCCCUCAGGACGGGGUGGGGGAGGGCGGCCGGAAACCCGCCGUUUGCACCCGUUUCUAACGGGGAACGGGUCCAGGACAGAAGCAGCAGAUGGGGACAGCCGCCAGACUCUCUGGAACCGGCACCGGGGGAGGGCAGGGCAGGCAGGGGCUGCUCUGUGAGCUGCUAUGGGGACACGAUGCCAUCUCUUCGGCAUCCUCAACAGACAGGGUGGCACGAAAACCAGUCCUCAUCAGAGACGUGUCCCCCAAGGGCCAGCGUCCCUAGCUCAGUCCCCACGCGCAGCCUGGCCCACUGGGCGGCAGCGUGGCAGCCAUGCGUGCAGACACCCUGCCCGCCGACUGCCCACUAGAGGGCCCAGCAAGCUCCAGGGUGACCUCACCCCCACCUGAGUCCUUCAAGGACCGGGUACAACGCAGGUGGCCGUCCCUGAACUGAGGUGGCAGGAGGUCUCUGACCAGAGCCGGCCACUCUGCUGCCCUUCAGGGCUUUAAAUCAGGAAAACAUGUGACUCGCCUCUGGAGAUGCACCAGAUGCACAUCCUUCCACGGAAGCCACCAGGCUACGUUCCCGGUCCCUAGGCCCUGGCCUUUCUGGUGGGCUGGCUGCAGCUCUGCAGGGGGCCUCAGGACCACACAGCCCAGGGGUCCCGACGCCCACCCACGCCAUCCCCGAUACCUCUCCUUUAAGGCUUCGCCUGACACGCACGCUCAGGACCCUACAGUACGGUCGUCGAUCCAGGAAGUCACUUUUGAGAAUCCGAUCCCCUCCCCCCCCGACCCAGGCGCAGGGCUGUGCCUUCUCCCUCGACCACGGACACAACCCACGGACACAACGCUCGCUUGUCUUGCUCCCUGGGUCAUGACGCUGCCUCGCUGUUACAAGCUUCCCCUCUCGUGUUCCGAGCGAGUCUUGUAAACCCCACACAAUGCCAAUCCCCUGGGCCCUACCCGCACCUGCAGAGGUGGCUGAUGCCACCUUAAGCUUUCUACACAUUUAAAUAAAACAAAACCACCUUGCACACACGCGCACACACACACUUUGGCACGAGAGCCUCGCGUUCUCCGGGGGUGCGCAUGCGCGUGCUCCCGCCCCGCCCCUGCCGAGCUGAUGGUUUAGGGGCGCCCGCCCCUCCUGCCGGAUGGAGAAGGUCGCACGAAGCCCCGCUGUUUGCAGCAGAGGAGGAGGUACAAGCGCUAAACUGGCCCCAGAACGGUGCCCGUGUUUAGCGCUUUGAUUUACACCGCGCUGCAAAACUUCUGUACCAGGACGACCAGUUGCGAACUGCUGGUUGAUUAAAUAUACACUUACAUAUAGAUAUAAGUAUAAAAAUUACUAGGUCAACAUUUGCUGUUUUCAAUGUGAAAACGCUAAAAUGUAAUUCUGAAUAAUUGUGCAUUUGUCACAGGGUCCUUGUUAAAGGGACCAUAAAAAUAAUUUUGUAAUAAAAAAACCUCUUUUCUUCUUUUUUUAAAGGUUAGUAUUGCCCUCAAGUUCAAAAGUUUGGAGCAAACGUGCUGAGUAAGCAGGACUGGAAGCUGUUCCUGCCAGGGGUCGGGAAGCCUUAAACCCGGGGACCCCACGCAGGCCCGAGGAACCCGCCGGCCACCGCCCGCCUUGGCGCCAACAUCACAGGGCUGGGCAGCGCCCCGACUCCACUGGCGACCCCCUACGCCCUGCGCAGCUCUUGGGGGGGCACAUGCGCUGGGGCCCUGCCUUCUCUUGAGCUACCAGACUAAGGAACGGGGGGCAGGGGCCUGGGUGGGGGCCGCUGAGCACCAAGGCUGGGGGAGGAGGGAGGGCCGUCUCGGUGACAGAGAAGCAGCUACGCGGGGAGGAAAGUGCUCGGAAGGUCGCUUAAACACAGCCUAAGACCACACUGCCCGGCCAGGGACGGGCCGAGGCCGCGUCCGCCUGCCCGGCCGCCCGCUGCCCGGGUCUGUGGGUGCACAGUCACGCUUUCUGACGCCAGUCUGCUCGCGGGGAGACAGGACACACCUCCUGGCUCUGGCAGGUACACAAUCUUGGUGGCGAAGUGCUUUUCUGCCAAAGGUCAGUUUACUCGGCUGCUGUCCCGCCGCUGUCACCGGAACUCGUAGAUGGGCGCGCUGUGUUCGGGGACGUGCGUGAGGUUGAGCGACUGGUACCUGCGGGCAGAAGGCUCAUCUCAGGCGUCAGGCCCCCGGCUCCUUGCUUGACCCCCGAACUGCACAGGGCCCUGCUCCCGUCUGCACGCGGUGACAGGCUGUCUCGGAAAACGGGGCAGGGGGACGAAGAUGGAGCUCUGCCCUCCACACGCCCCGCUUCUCCCCGAAGCUGCGAGACCCUCGGAGCGCCCUGGGGGCCCUGGCGCAGCCCUCCCCGGGAUCCAGGGCGCUUGGAGGGACGACGACACAGCCCCUUCGCUUUCCUUCUGCCUCCCCGGACACAGGUGCUGGACCUCGGGGGCACCAGGGGCUCUCAGGGGUGUGUUCCCCCCGACAGGCGCACCAAGGAAGCAAGAAAUUGGAGGAGACACAGGCCUGCCAGUCCCCAGACGGGGCGAGAACAGGGCCACCGGUGGGGGUGACAGAGGAGCGGGGGGNNNNNNNNNNNNNNNNNNNNNNNNNNNNNNNNNNNNNNNNNNNNNNNNNNNNNNNNNNNNNNNNNNNNNNNNAGGGCCCCAGGGGGAGGACGGGGAGACAAGAGGCGGAUGGGGCCUCUGAGCGUCCCUGCUGGGAAUGUAACAGGAGCAGCUGCUGGGGCAGCAGGCGCUCACGAUUUCAGCAGGGCCACCCGUGGCCCCGCAGUUCCACCCCAGCCACGUGGCACAGAAAGCGGGGACGCAGACACUUCGCAGCCACGUCCACGGCAGCACAUUCAAAGCAGCCCCAAGGGGGGACAAGCCCCACGUCCAGCCACUGAGGAAUGGAUAAUAAGACGCGGCCGACCCACACAAUGGCAGAUUGCUCAGCCACAAAAGUGAAGUUGAGGGAGUUCCCGGGUGGCCAGUGGCGAGGACUUGGCACUCUUACCACUGCGGCCCGGGUUCAAUCCCUGGUCUGGGACCUGAGACCCCACAUCAAGCCGCCGCAUGCCACGGCCAAAGUCAAAACAUCAAAAAGAAGUGCCAAGGCCUGCGACUGGACUGGAACCUGCAGAGCGUGACGCGGAAUGAGAAGGCAGACCAGGGGGCUGCCUGGGGCGGGGGCCCCGUGUGUGAAAUGCCCUGAACGGGCACAUCUAUGCAGAGAGUAGGACUGUGGUGGCGGGGCUGGGAGGGGACCCGGAGCUGGGGUGACAGCCACGGGCACAGGUUUCCUCGCUGCUGGGGACACGCUCGGACACUGACUGGGGGGGCGGCUGCACCGCUGUUCACAGAGAAGCCCACUGGCCCGAACCCUGCACUUCAGGGAGCUGCGUGGUCUGCAAAUUUCAGCUCAACAAUCCUUAAAAGAGAUCUGAAAAGUUGUAAAGGCUCAUUUGAAAACGAAAAGCUGCUGGAACCCCAGUGCCUGCUGCUCUCACAGGGGUGGGGGCUGCACCGAGUCCACAGGCACUCGGCUGCCGAGCAGGAAGGGGGGUGAGUCGACCCCGGCGGCGUCACUCUGGAGCCACGCGAGCAGGAAACGGUUGCAAAGAGAUAAAGCGCUUCUGCGUCGAGAGAGGACAUCAGGUGUUUCACGACACGGUUCGCCCUGUGGGUAUAACGGGCACAGCCAGGAGCCAGAAGAGUCCCCGAAAAGGUGGGAAAAAAACGCCAGCCCUUGUGGCGCACGGCCGUCACCCUGGGUGGCCAUCACCCAGGGCAGGACGACAAGGCCCACGGGCUCGGUCACCAGGACGAUGUCGGAGGGAAUGUGAGCGAGAAAGUAAAAAGGCUGCUGACAGCAAAGGUCCCCGUCCAGAGCGGGACCUCC
Molecule: long non-coding RNA, 4461 nt
Filed under: Sus scrofa (pig)
Lineage: Eukaryota; Metazoa; Chordata; Mammalia; Artiodactyla; Suidae
Description: lncRNA (ENSSSCG00005040791.1)
Source: RNAcentral